This 450-nucleotide ribosomal RNA is filed under the name uncultured Glomus. RNAcentral describes it as "SSU rRNA". It matches the Rfam family "Eukaryotic small subunit ribosomal RNA", at positions 569 to 1025 of the family's 1831-position model. Lineage: Eukaryota; Fungi; Glomeromycota; Glomeromycetes; Glomerales; Glomeraceae. The record is from RNAcentral. RNAcentral also lists the same sequence under 1 other name.
AGCAGCCGCGGUAAUUCCAGCUCCAAUAGCGUAUAUUAAAGUUGUUGCAGUUAAAAAGCUCGUAGUUGAAUUUCGGGAUCAAUAUAUCGGUCGUGCCUUGGUACGUACUGGUAUCAUUGGUUUCUCCUUUCUGACGAACCAUGAUGUCAUUAAUUUGGUGUUAUGGGAAGUUAGGACUGUUACUUUGAAAAAUUAGAGUGUUUAAAGCAGGCUUUGGCUUGAAUACAUUAGCAUGGAAUAAUGAAAUAGGACGUUCGAACCUAUUUUGUUGGUUUCUAGGAUCAACGUAAUGAUUAAUAGGGAUAGUUGGGGGCAUUAGUAUUCAAUUGUCAGAGGUGAAAUUCUUGGAUUUAUUGAAGACUAACUACUGCGAAAGCAUUUGCCAAGGAUGUUUUCAUUAAUCAAGAACGAAAGUUAGGGGAUCGAAGACGAUCAGAUACCGUCGUAGUC